RNAcentral lists this transfer RNA (77 nucleotides) under Hernandia nymphaeifolia. RNAcentral describes it as "tRNA-Tyr". It matches the Rfam family "tRNA". From Rfam's summary of the family: Transfer RNA (tRNA) molecules are approximately 80 nucleotides in length. Their secondary structure includes four short double-helical elements and three loops (D, anti-codon, and T loops). Lineage: Eukaryota; Viridiplantae; Streptophyta; Magnoliopsida; Laurales; Hernandiaceae. The record is from RNAcentral.
GGGUUGAUGCCCGAGCGGGGACGGACUGUAAAUUCGUUGGCGAUAUGUCUACGCUGGUGCAAAUCCAGCUCGACCCA